Molecule: ribosomal RNA, 253 nt
Filed under: uncultured bacterium
Lineage: Bacteria
Description: partial 16S ribosomal RNA
Rfam family: Bacterial small subunit ribosomal RNA
Source: RNAcentral
UACAGAGGGUGCGAGCGUUAAUCGGAUUUACUGGGCGUAAAGAGCGCGCAGGCGGUCGUUCAAGUCGCGUGUGAAAGCCCCCGGCUCAACUGGGGAGGGUCACGCGAUACUGAUCGACUCGAAGGCAGGAGAGGGUAGUGGAAUUCCCGGUGUAGUGGCGAAAUGCGUAGAUAUCGGGAGGAACACCAGUGGCGAAGGCGACUACCUGGCCUGUUCUUGACGCUGAGGCGCGAAAGCUAGGGGAGCAAACGGG